This 760-nucleotide long non-coding RNA is filed under the name Felis catus (domestic cat). Its description in RNAcentral is "lncRNA (ENSFCAG00000044552.2)". Lineage: Eukaryota; Metazoa; Chordata; Mammalia; Carnivora; Felidae. The record is from RNAcentral.
AUGAACCAAUGGCUGAACCGGAUGCUGUCACACCGGGCGGUUAUCGGGAUCAAGUGGGACAAAGUUUGGAAAGCACUGGCCACAUGCCUCGCCCUUGAAUGCACUCAGGACCUGAAGGUCAUUGUUGACAUCAGGGGCCACCUCCCCGGGGGCAGUGUCCCCAGCUCCACCGGACAAGGUCCCCGGCUUACCCACCUCCUCUGUUCUGAUCUCUGGCUGCCUGAGCUCCGGGCUCGGGGGAUGGAAAGGUCUCCCCUUCUCAGGAACCGGAGUGUGGCCAUCACCCACCAGCUUGAUUGCAUGGCCCAUUUAAAGGGUCACAGCUCGCAGCUUGGAAAUCGGCAGGCCUGACGCCUUCCCUCUACGGAUGCGGAAACUGAGGGAAAACCCGAGGGGGCCCCCGACCAUCUUGCAGAGCUCACACAGCAAGAUAGCGGCAAAGCCAAGGAGAAGGAACUUCGAUUUCCCUUCCAGCGUGGACAUCCGAGUCUGGCGGGUACUGAGGGUGAAUCCUUCUCUCGAGCCCCGCCCUCUGAGGUCCCCCUCUGCCGCCUGGCUGUCUUCGCAAUGGUCGCCGCUCGAUGAGAAAUCGUGUUUAUGUCUCUGUUUUCUUUCCCGUCCCCGCUGUACCAAAAAUGUAAUCUUCACGAACACAAGGGCUUACCUGUAUUGUCUGCGCUGUGUCCCCAGCAGCCAGAGGGUGUGUGGCACACAGUAGGUGCUCAAUAAAUCUCUGCUGAAUGAAUACGAGAAUAAACGG